This 710-nucleotide long non-coding RNA is filed under the name Homo sapiens (human). Its description in RNAcentral is "long non-coding RNA NONHSAT152882.1". The record is from RNAcentral. Lineage: Eukaryota; Metazoa; Chordata; Mammalia; Primates; Hominidae.
GAAGAGGGUCUGGGCGAUGGUGCAUCCGGGACGAGCCUCCAGAGACCAAGCGGGAUAGGUAAACCCGCCGCGCAGCUGGCGGGACGCUGGGCCAACGAGGUCUGGGGUCUUGGCGCGGAGUUCAUGGGCCGCCGGCCAGGCUUGUGCCAGUGGCUUUGGAUCCCUGGCCUGCUUCCCCCAACCCAGCCUCCAGACCAGCGCUGGCCUGCUCCACACACUCCGCAGCACCGUCCCGGGAACCGAGCGUCGGCGGGGAGGCCGCCUCUCCGCAGUAGGUCUCGGCGGGCCUGAUCCCUUGGAGGCGCGUGUGUGGCACACGCCCAGGAGGGGCUUGAUUUUUGUUGAUGUAUACCCCAUGUUUCCCCAUCACUCGAGGAGUCUGGGCAGAGACUGGACUACACCGUGGGAGAAUCUGCAAAGGUGUUGCUGGAACAGACAUAUUUCUAGUUGUAUGAGGUGGCCUGGACAUUACUCUCGAGCUCCUUACCCAUACUUCAGUAGUAGGCAUUUUUCACUAAAUUGGAGACCACCCUGUUUGUUUGAGUCUAGAACUCAGUUCCAGUACUGUAACUGGAGACCUGACAACCUGAGCCAGACAUCUUUGAUUCAUCUCUCUAGUUACGUCAUGAACGCUGAGGGAGAUGAGCCUUCAUCAAAACGAAGAAAACACCAAGGUGUGAUAAAGCGGAAUUGGGAAUAUAUAUGUAGCC